Molecule: ribosomal RNA, 497 nt
Filed under: uncultured bacterium
Lineage: Bacteria
Description: partial 16S ribosomal RNA
Rfam family: Bacterial small subunit ribosomal RNA
Source: RNAcentral
GAUGAACGCUGGCGGCGUGCCUAAUACAUGCAAGUCGAGCGAACAGACGAGGAGCUUGCUCCCCUGACGUUAGCGGCGGACGGGUGAGUAACACGUGGAUAACCUACCUAUAAGACUGGGAUAACUUCGGGAAACCGGGCUUAAUACCGGUAAAUAAAUUAAACCCCAGGGUCAAUAGGGGAAAGAGGGUUUGGCUGUCACUUAUAGAUGGAUCCGCGCCGCAUUAGCUAGUUGGUAAGGUAACGGCUUACCAAGGCAACGAUGCGUAGCCGACCUGAGAGGGUGAUCGGCCACACUGGAACUGAGACACGGUCCAGACUCCUACGGGAGGCAGCAGUAGGGAAUCUUCCGCAAUGGGCGAAAGCUUGACGGAGCAACGCCGCGUGAGUGAUGAAGGUCUUCGGAUCGUAAAACUCUGUUAUUAGGGAAGAACAAAUGUGUAAGUAACUAUGCACGUCUUGACGGUACCUAAUCAGAAAGCCACGGCUAACUACGUG